GUUUAACUGAGGAUCAGAGGGGAAAGGUGACUGGCCCGAGUCCCUUCAGCUAACAAGCAGCAGCUGUAGGAUUCAAAUCAAGCUCUGAUGCCUCUGGCACUUCUGCUUCUCUGUACAUCAUGGUGUCUCCUUGCAAAAGCCUCUGAUCAGUUUUCUGCCAACUGAUACUAUAGCCUUAAAGGAUCCCACCCAGGGUACCACAGUGCAUUCAGUUGUCACUUCUUAGAGUCCUCUUGGCUGCAACAGUUUCUUGGAUCUUUCCUUGUUUUUGAUGACUUGGACAAUGCAGAGGAUUGCUGUUCAGGCAUAACCAAGGCAUUUGCCUGUCAGGAAAAAGCCUUCACCUUGACUAGAACAGCUCUGAAAUCAGACAACGAAGAUGCAAGUCGUGGUCCUGUCACCAGCUGUGUGAGCUUGCACAAGUCUCUGCGACUCUUUGAGACAGGUUCUUCAUCUGUCAUAAGGGGACUAGUUACUAUAACUCAGGGUUCACUGACAACCUUAGAUGCGCUAAUACAUGUAAAGUCAGCUCAUUAGAUAAAGAUUUCCUUUCUUCCAUCUCCUCUUCUUGCCCUGGGGAAGAAUCCAGUGCCCUGAUGGCCCCUCUGGAGAGAGGUGGAGAAGAACCUGCUGCUUAUAGGGUGGGAGUUCUUUGGGAUCCAUGAAUAGGUCUUACUGUGUUCAUGAGCCCCAGGAAUAUUAAGCAAAACUGUGUGUGUGCAGAUGCAUUUUUCUGAGUGGAGAGUCUAUAGCUUCCAUCAAAUGUCCAAUGGGGGACAGCCCUGGUGGCUCAGCGGUUUGGCGCUGCCUGCAGCCCAGUGUGUGAUC
Molecule: long non-coding RNA, 828 nt
Organism: Canis lupus familiaris (dog)
Lineage: Eukaryota; Metazoa; Chordata; Mammalia; Carnivora; Canidae
Exons: 3
Source: RefSeq, a predicted model, not a curated record